RNAcentral lists this ribosomal RNA (468 nucleotides) under uncultured bacterium. RNAcentral describes it as "partial 16S ribosomal RNA". It matches the Rfam family "Bacterial small subunit ribosomal RNA", at positions 28 to 507 of the family's 1533-position model. The record is from RNAcentral.
GACGAACGCUGGCGGCGUGCUUAACACAUGCAAGUCGAACGGAAAGGCCUGCAGCUUGCUGCGGGUACUCGAGUGGCGAACGGGUGAGUAACACGUGGGUGAUCUGCCUUGCACUUCGGGAUAAGCUUGGGAAACUGGGUCUAAUACCGGAUAGGACAGCUGUUUAGUGUCAGUUGUGGAAAGUUUUUUCGGUGCAAGAUGAGCUCGCGGCCUAUCAGCUUGUUGGUGGGGUAAUGGCCUACCAAGGCGUCGACGGGUAGCCGGCCUGAGAGGGUGUACGGCCACAUUGGGACUGAGAUACGGCCCAGACUCCUAUGGGAGGCAGCAGUGGGGAAUAUUGCACAAUGGGCGGAAGCCUGAUGCAGCGACGCCGCGUGGGGGAUGAAGGCCUUCGGGUUGUAAACUCCUUUCGACAGGGACGAAGCUUUUGUGACGGUACCUGUAUAAGAAGCACCGGCUAACUACGUG